This 449-nucleotide long non-coding RNA is filed under the name Theobroma cacao (cacao). Its description in RNAcentral is "long non-coding RNA (TCAC_LNC005064)". Lineage: Eukaryota; Viridiplantae; Streptophyta; Magnoliopsida; Malvales; Malvaceae. The record is from RNAcentral.
UAUAGCUUAUGAUGAUUGUUACAGCUCCCUGGAAUGGCUAUGUAGCCAAGUUACUAGUGAACCAUGGUUCAAGCUAGCUGAUCUUUCCCGUGUAUUUCUCUCUGGAGACAGUGCUGGAGGGAACAUUGUGCAUCAGGUUGCCAUCAGAGCUAUGAGGAACAAAGCUUUACAUGUUAAGAUUAAAGGGUUAUUGAUGAUACAUCCUUAUUUUGGCAGUGAAGAAAGGACUGACAGAGAGAGGGCCGAUGGUGCAGCUGGCGAUGUGGCAAUGAAUGAUAUGUUUUGGAGACUGAGCAUACCUGAUUGGUCAAACCGUGAUUAUUUCGGAUGUAACUUUGAGAAGCAAGUGGUGUCUGAAGCUGAAUGGAGAGAGUUCCCCGUGGUGGUGGUUUAUGUGGCUGGCUUGGAUUUCUUGAAGGAAAGGGGAGUAAUGUACGCUGAGUUUUUGC